RNAcentral lists this ribosomal RNA (253 nucleotides) under uncultured bacterium. RNAcentral's name for it is "partial 16S ribosomal RNA". It matches the Rfam family "Bacterial small subunit ribosomal RNA", at positions 524 to 776 of the family's 1533-position model. The record is from RNAcentral.
UACGUAGGGUGCGAGCGUUAAUCGGAAUUACUGGGCGUAAAGUGUGCGCAGGCGGCCGAGCAAGUCGAGUGUGAAAGCCCCGAGCUUAACUUGGGAACUGCGCUCGAAACUACUUGGCUAGAGUGUGGCAGAGGGAGGUGGAAUUCCACGUGUAGCGGUGAAAUGCGUAGAGAUGUGGAGGAACACCGAUGGCGAAGGCAGCCUCCUGGGAUAACACUGACGCUCAUGCACGAAAGCGUGGGGAGCAAACAGG